This is a small nuclear RNA of Perognathus longimembris pacificus (Pacific pocket mouse), 120 nucleotides long. Lineage: Eukaryota; Metazoa; Chordata; Mammalia; Rodentia; Heteromyidae. The record is from RefSeq and is a predicted model, not a curated record.
GUAUUCUGUGAAAGAGAGAAGGCUAGCAUUCUCCUUGACAAGAAGUCUUUUUGUUUUGGUUUCCUAUUCUGCAAUGGUCAGUCUGACCUGUUGCUGUGUAAGGUUACAUUAAAAGUUUUU